Molecule: long non-coding RNA, 223 nt
Filed under: Elaeis guineensis (African oil palm)
Lineage: Eukaryota; Viridiplantae; Streptophyta; Magnoliopsida; Arecales; Arecaceae
Description: long non-coding RNA (EGUI_LNC082109)
Source: RNAcentral
UCCUAAUUCACCAUGAUCUCCAGCCACCAUCAUUUUCAUAGUAGCAAGAUACGGCCACUAUCAUUUUCUUUGUAGCAAGAUACAGCCACCAUCAUUUCUAUGAUAGUCAAAUUCUGUUAUUUCCUUCCAUUUACUGAAUUUAUCUUAUGUUCCCUCUCUUAUCUAUAUAAAGGGAGGCAACCUAUGUAUUCAAUUCAGAUUUCAAUGAAUAAAAAUGAGUGUU